This 372-nucleotide ribosomal RNA is filed under the name uncultured organism. RNAcentral describes it as "partial 16S ribosomal RNA". It matches the Rfam family "Bacterial small subunit ribosomal RNA", at positions 527 to 896 of the family's 1533-position model. The record is from RNAcentral.
GUAGGUGGCAAGCGUUGUCCGGAAUUAUUGGGCGUAAAGCGCGCGCAGGGCGGUCCUUUAAGUCUGAUGUGGGAAGCCCACGGCUCAACCGUGGAGGGUCAUUGGAAACUGGGGGACUUGAGUACAGAAGAGGAAAGCGGAAUUCCAAGUGUAGCGGUGAAAUGCGUAGAGAUUUGGAGGAACACCAGUGGCGAAGGCGGCUUUCUGGUCUGUAACUGACGCUGAGGCGCGAAAGCGUGGGGAGCAAACAGGAUUAGAUACCCUGGUAGUCCACGCCGUAAACGAUGAGUGCUAAGUGUAGGGGGUUUCCGCCCCUUAGUGCUGCAGCUAACGCAUUAAGCACUCCGCCUGGGGAGUACGGCCGCAAGGCUG